AUCAGUUUCCCAUUUUCGUUUUCGUGUGUGACGUUUUAGAGAAAAUGGAGAGGUCCUCGUCGCCUCCUCUGUUGUUGCUACUGCUGCUCUCUUCCCUCGCCGUCGUCUACUCCGCUGUCGAUCCGCCUCAGAUCACCGUGAAACCCGACGUUGCUCCCGAGUCCCUCCCGAUUAACUACAUCCAGGAAGUUGGAAGCUGUUCUUACGAGGUUACAGUAGCAACAAGCUGUUCAUCUCCUUCAUUUAUCACUGACGAAAUCGGUGUGUUGUUUGGAGAUUCUCAUGGAAAUCAGAUUGUGGAGAAGAAGUUGAGCAAUGGAGACAAGGUGUUUGAUAGUUGUAAUACAGAUAGGUUUGUUCUAAAUGAUCGACCCUGCAGUGUCCAAAUCAAUUAUAUGUAUAUCUAUAAAGACGGAGCUGACGAUUGGCUUCCGAACUCUGUUGAAAUCUCUGGCUCUGGAAUCAAACCCCUUUUGUUCAUCUUCAAAUCCUCCAUCCCAAGAAACACUUGGUUUGGCUUUGAUUUACGCCAAUAUCCUUUUCCAUCGCCGCCGUCUUACAACCCGUACCCUCCUUUUCCAUCGUUGUCUCCUCCUCCUCCUCCUCCUCCCCAUCCCCUGCCACCGCCGCCGGAGCCAAUUCUUUCUCCUCCGCCUCCACCUAAGCCUGUUCUUCCCCCACCGUCUCCUCCUCCUCCUCCUCCCCAUCCCCUGCCACCGCCGCCGGAGCCAAUUUUUUCUCCUCCGCCUCCACCUAAGCCUGUUCUUCCCCCACCGCCUCCUCCUCCACCAUCAUCCUCCAGCAAAAUCUCUGGUCUGAAAUUGGCUAAGGUAUCUGUGGUUUUGGGAUUGCUGUUUGCUCUUCUGUGAUUCUGCAGUAGCUGCUUGCUUUAUGUAGUAGUUUGAUUUUGUAGUGGUGGGUGGGUGAUGUUAAUGUUCAAGUUUCAUCCCCCAUUCCACCAUGUUGUAGUACCAAUGUAUGCUUUCAAAGCAUUAGUGGAACUUUAUCUUUUCAGCUGUAUGGCUAUAGGCCUGGUGCAAUUCUGCAGCCACUGUUUGUUCUAUGUGGGUGGCGGUUGAGAAUGGUAGCUCUAUGGUGGUGGGUGAUACUAUAUUUACGAUUCAUCUCCUUUUCCACCAUGUUUUAAGGUCUAGACAAGCAAGUUUUACCGAACCUCUUUAUGUUAUCGUCUUUCAGUUGUAUUGGAUACAUGCCUUCUCUAUGAAAGUCGGCCAAGCUAUCUAUGUCGAAAGUUGUAUGGUGUUUUAUUUGUCAAUAAUGUGGGAUGGAGUGGAUGUGUUAAAUUUU
Cucurbita pepo subsp. pepo (vegetable marrow) is the source of this 1308-nucleotide non-coding RNA. NCBI's taxonomy places the organism in Eukaryota, Viridiplantae, Streptophyta, Magnoliopsida, Cucurbitales, Cucurbitaceae. The record is from RefSeq and is a predicted model, not a curated record.